RNAcentral lists this ribosomal RNA (1044 nucleotides) under uncultured Burkholderia sp. Its description in RNAcentral is "bacterial SSU rRNA". It matches the Rfam family "Bacterial small subunit ribosomal RNA", at positions 351 to 1393 of the family's 1533-position model. Lineage: Bacteria; Pseudomonadati; Pseudomonadota; Betaproteobacteria; Burkholderiales; Burkholderiaceae. The record is from RNAcentral.
GCAGUGGGGAAUUUUGGACAAUGGGCGAAAGCCUGAUCCAGCAAUGCCGCGUGUGUGAAGAAGGCCUUCGGGUUGUAAAGCACUUUUGUCCGGAAAGAAAUCCUUGGCUCUAAUACAGUCGGGGGAUGACGGUACCGGAAGAAUAAGCACCGGCUAACUACGUGCCAGCAGCCGCGGUAAUACGUAGGGUGCGAGCGUUAAUCGGAAUUACUGGGCGUAAAGCGUGCGCAGGCGGUUUGCUAAGACCGAUGUGAAAUCCCCGGGCUCAACCUGGGAACUGCAUUGGUGACUGGCAGGCUAGAGUAUGGCAGAGGGGGGUAGAAUUCCACGUGUAGCAGUGAAAUGCGUAGAGAUGUGGAGGAAUACCGAUGGCGAAGGCAGCCCCCUGGGCCAAUACUGACGCUCAUGCACGAAAGCGUGGGGAGCAAACAGGAUUAGAUACCCUGGUAGUCCACGCCCUAAACGAUGUCAACUAGUUGUUGGGGAUUCAUUUCCUUAGUAACGUAGCUAACGCGUGAAGUUGACCGCCUGGGGAGUACGGUCGCAAGAUUAAAACUCAAAGGAAUUGACGGGGACCCGCACAAGCGGUGGAUGAUGUGGAUUAAUUCGAUGCAACGCGAAAAACCUUACCUACCCUUGACAUGGUCGGAAUCCCGCUGAGAGGUGGGAGUGCUCGAAAGAGAACCGGCGCACAGGUGCUGCAUGGCUGUCAUCAGCUCGUGUCGUGAGAUGUUGGGUUAAGUCCCGCAACGAGCGCAACCCUUGUCCUUAGUUGCUACGCAAGAGCACUCUAAGGAGACUGCCGGUGACAAACCGGAGGAAGGUGGGGAUGACGUCUAGUCCUCAUGGCCCUUAUGGGUAGGGCUUCACACGUCAUACAAUGGUCGGAACAGAGGGUUGCCAACCCGCGAGGGGGAGCUAAUCCCAGAAAACCGAUCGUAGUCCGGAUUCCACUCUGCAACUCGAGUGCAUGAAGCUGGAAUCGCUAGUAAUCGCGGAUCAGCAUGCCGCGGUGAAUACGUUCCCGGGCCUUGUACACACCGC